ACCCUCGUAGCUCAGCGGAAGAGCGACGGGCUCCUAUCCCGUAGGCCGGACGUUCGAUUCGUCUCGAGGGUGCCC
RNAcentral lists this transfer RNA (75 nucleotides) under Novimethylophilus kurashikiensis. RNAcentral describes it as "tRNA-Arg". It matches the Rfam family "tRNA". From Rfam's summary of the family: Transfer RNA (tRNA) molecules are approximately 80 nucleotides in length. The record is from RNAcentral. Lineage: Bacteria; Pseudomonadati; Pseudomonadota; Betaproteobacteria; Nitrosomonadales; Methylophilaceae.